GUUCCAGACCAUUUCACAAAACCUAACUCAUCUCUCAUGAGUAAUUUCGGUUCUUCACAAUUUUCGGUUCGGUUCGGUUAACCAAAGUAUAACCGAAGUUAUUUCAGAAGGAAACUAAUUGUUUUUUAUUUCUGAAGAUUAGCGAUUUUGGAGAGUGAUCAUCUCUUGUGUCCCCUUUGUGGAACAAAUAAUCUGCAAAACCACUUUAGAGUCUUCAUAUCAACUUUGAGUUAAUGAAUUGUGUUAAGACGAAUUUACCCCUAUAUUUUAUUUUGAAUGA
RNAcentral lists this small RNA (280 nucleotides) under Arabidopsis thaliana (thale cress). RNAcentral describes it as "ATSL082030". The record is from RNAcentral. Lineage: Eukaryota; Viridiplantae; Streptophyta; Magnoliopsida; Brassicales; Brassicaceae.